RNAcentral lists this microRNA precursor (82 nucleotides) under Marmota monax (woodchuck). The record is from RNAcentral. Lineage: Eukaryota; Metazoa; Chordata; Mammalia; Rodentia; Sciuridae.
UUGAACACAAGCCGUCUCAUCCAGACUUUGUGUUAUAGAUGGGCGGUUUGGAACACAAAGUCUGGAUGAGACGGCUUGUGUU